Molecule: ribosomal RNA, 466 nt
Filed under: uncultured bacterium
Lineage: Bacteria
Description: partial 16S ribosomal RNA
Rfam family: Bacterial small subunit ribosomal RNA
Source: RNAcentral
GACGAACGCUGGCGGCGUGCUUAACACAUGCAAGUCGAACGGAAAGGCCCUGCUUGCAGGGUACUCGAGUGGCGAACGGGUGAGUAACACGUGGGUGAUCUGCCCUGCACUUCGGGAUAAGCUUGGGAAACUGGGUCUAAUACCGGAUAGGAGCCAUCUUUCGUGUGGUGGUUGGAAAGUUUUUUCGGUGUAGGAUGAGCUCGCGGCCUAUCAGCUUGUUGGUGGGGUAAUGGCCUACCAAGGCGGCGACGGGUAGCCGGCCUGAGAGGGUGUACGGCCACAUUGGGACUGAGAUACGGCCCAGACUCCUACGGGAGGCAGCAGUGGGGAAUAUUGCACAAUGGGCGCAAGCAUGAUGCAGCGACGCCGCGUGGGGGAUGAAGGCCUUCGGGUUGUAAACUCCUUUCGCUAGGGACGAAGCUUUGUUGUGACGGUACAUAGAUAAGAAGCACCGGCUAACUACGUG